Molecule: unclassified non-coding RNA, 196 nt
Filed under: uncultured Lactifluus
Lineage: Eukaryota; Fungi; Basidiomycota; Agaricomycetes; Russulales; Russulaceae
Description: sequence contains ITS2
Source: RNAcentral
AAUCCUCAACCUUCUCUGUUUCUUUUUGAAUCAGAAAAGGCUUGGACUUUGGAGGUUUCUGCUGGUCUCUCUUGAAGCCAGCUCCUCUUAAAUGUAUUAGCAGGGUCCUCUUGGUCGAUCCUCGACGUGAUAAGAUUCUUUUACGUCGGCUUUGCCUCCUUUGGGACCUGCUUCCCUCUUUGACCUACAAUGAACC